AAGGGCUUAGGAUAAAUACAUAGACCAAGAGCCUUCAAAGCUCUAAGCAGAAGUGAAAACCUUCUAGCCCUUGA
This 74-nucleotide transfer RNA is filed under the name Rasbora kalochroma (clown rasbora). RNAcentral describes it as "tRNA-Trp". It matches the Rfam family "tRNA". From Rfam's summary of the family: Transfer RNA (tRNA) molecules are approximately 80 nucleotides in length. Lineage: Eukaryota; Metazoa; Chordata; Actinopteri; Cypriniformes; Danionidae. The record is from RNAcentral.